UACUUGGAAAGGCAUCAGUUG
RNAcentral lists this microRNA (21 nucleotides) under Pan troglodytes (chimpanzee). RNAcentral also lists the same sequence under 2 other names. Lineage: Eukaryota; Metazoa; Chordata; Mammalia; Primates; Hominidae. The record is from RNAcentral.